CCUUAGUACGAGAGGACCGGGAUGGACAUACCUCUGGUGUACCAGUUGUCGUGCCAACGGCAUAGCUGGGUAGCUAUGUGUGGACGGGAUAAGUGCUGAAAGCAUCUAAGCAUGAAGCCCCCCUCAAGAUGAGAUUUCCCAACUUCGGUUAUAAGAUCCCUCAAAGAUGAUGAGGUUAAUAGGUUCGAGGUGGAAGCAUGGUGACAUGUGGAGCUGACGAAUACUAAUCGAUCGAAGACUUAAUCAAAA
This 249-nucleotide ribosomal RNA is filed under the name Staphylococcus aureus. Its description in RNAcentral is "partial 23S ribosomal RNA". It matches the Rfam family "Bacterial large subunit ribosomal RNA", at positions 2676 to 2925 of the family's 2925-position model. Lineage: Bacteria; Bacillati; Bacillota; Bacilli; Caryophanales; Staphylococcaceae. The record is from RNAcentral.